UGACAUUGAAAAACAAUAUGGCUACUCCAUUACGUAUACAAGAACUCAUACGUCACAUUGGUGACGUUUAUCCACAAAAGGUUGUCAACCACAAAAAUAAAUUAGAUCCACUUUACGACAACCAUCGUCCAGGGGUAUCUAAUAUGGCGUCUAUUGGUAGUACUCAGGUGAAACCUCUAGAUUUAGUUGAUAUAAGAAAAGAACAGAGGCGUCUGGCUGCUCUGCUUGAAAUAAAAACCAGGGAUCCGCUUUUUGCUGUUCCAAAAUAUCGCCCAGCACCGAAACGCAAAUGUAUUAUCUGUAACUUGCCUAAUGCUGAUCGUAGGUUAUUCAAUGGACCACUCCCCUACACCCAUAGAGGUAUAGUUAUACCUAGAGUACCUGACCCAUCAUUUGU
Patella vulgata (common limpet) is the source of this 397-nucleotide long non-coding RNA. RefSeq lists it as uncharacterized. The transcript has 3 exons. The record is from RefSeq and is a predicted model, not a curated record. NCBI's taxonomy places the organism in Eukaryota, Metazoa, Mollusca, Gastropoda, Patellidae.